Molecule: long non-coding RNA, 1018 nt
Filed under: Homo sapiens (human)
Lineage: Eukaryota; Metazoa; Chordata; Mammalia; Primates; Hominidae
Description: HSALNT0124261
Source: RNAcentral
CUCAGUCUCGAUCUCCUGACCUUGUGACCUGCCCGCUUCGGCCUCCCAAAGUGCUGGGAUUACAGGCGUGAGUCACCAUGCCCGGCCCGGCAGCUGGAUCAUCUUGAUGCCCAGGAGUUCCACCAGUCUGGCCAACAUGGUGAAACCCCGUCUCUACUAAAAAUACAAAAAUUAGCCGGGCGUGGUGGCAGGCGCCUGUAAUCCCAGCUACUCAGGAGGCUGAGGCAGGAGAAUCACUUGAACCCAGGAGGUAGAGGUUGCAGUAAGCCAAGAUCGCACCACUGCACUCCAGUACCUGAAAGAACUCGGGGAUGAGAAGUCAACAUCUGUUGAGUCCUGUGCGGGGGAGUGGAGCCAGUCACUUUUGUAAAAGAUACUUAAUUGAGUCACAAAGCUGAAGUACAGUGGCGCGAUCUAUCACAACUCACUGCAGCCUUGAAUUCCUGGACUCACGACACCCUCCUGCCUCGGCCUCCCAUGGAGCUGGGACUACAGGGGCGUGCACAACCACACCCAGCUAAUUUUGCGUAGAGAUGGGGUCUUGCUAUGUUGCUCAGGCUGGUCCCAAACUCCUGGGCUCAAGCGAUCUCCCUGCCUCGGCCUCCCAAAGUGCUGGGAAUACAGGCGUGAGCCACUUCGCCUGGCCUCAGUGAAACUUAUUUCACCGUGUUUUUCACUUACAUAUUUAGGUGUUCAUAAUACAGAUGUACUUCUCCUUUACUGGACUCCUUACAGAAAAAGACCCCAAAGCCUAUCACAGGGUCAUAGAUGCCCAGUAAAUGCUGCUGCACAUCACAGAAUUGGUGCUUUUUCCGAGAUCGCGGCCACGGAGCAGGCUGAAGAGUUUACGGUGCUCUCCUGGCCACCCCGGGGACGGCCUGGCCUCGGCCACAGAGAAAGCCGCAGUAAGGGGCCCAGGUUGGAGCCAGUCCCGCCCCAGGAGGUGCGCCUAACCCGGCAAGGCGGGUCCCCGUCUCUGGAAGCGAAGCUCACGUUACCAGAGGAGAAACUGAGGCCC